CACAAACACACCGCCUCAGCUGAGGCUCAAACCAGUGACCUUCAGGUUACUGAUGCCUUGCCCACUAGGCCACGCGCCAACAGUGUGAAAGAAAGGUGCAGUUCAUUUUGUACGAACAUCACUUCCUGUAGGCAUGUUACCUACAUCUCCAAAUUAAAAAGAAGUUUGGGACUUAUUCAUGUGUGAACAGUGCCCUUAUUGAAAGUAGAACUUCUCCUAUUAUUUUGCCAAGCUCGGAAUGAAAUGGAGAACUGUUCUGCUGUAAAGUGUCAAAUAGUUCCCCUGCUGUGGACCAUUGAAUACCAGAAUAAAAUGUGUUCUGUCAUGAAUACGAUUGACACUAAGGCCUGAGGACCAAUGCCACUAGCAGUACAGAAUGGUUUCUCUUUUUUAUGUAAAGUACUGUCCAAGUUGUAUUCUUAAGUAAUUCAUGUCACAGGAUGCUCUGUAAUUUACAAGCUCUGCAAAGAAAAAAUCCAAAACAACAUUCAAAACUAAUCUCUGGAUCAAUAAAACUGUUUUAUACUCUUCCCAGGUACUAAUCUUUCUGUUACAAGAGGAUCUAUAAUUCUGUGAAGAGUAACAUUUACCACUUAGCCUUAGCAAGCCUGACCAGCACCUCAAUCCUGACCCAGUGUCAUGUCACACAAUCUUUUACUUAUGACCCUGAUCAUGAUCGGCAGAAAUCUGUGCUUUUUAGCAAUGAACUUUUUUCCAUGUACACUUUCACUAUAUAGCAAGAGUAUAUGCAAAAUCUCAGAAAGAAAUUGAAACCUGCACACUGUUUUUGACAGGACAAAAUGAUUUUCUUUAAUGUGAAUGUUCAAAUUGUAUUAUUUUGUGUUACAAUUGCUAGGGAAAAUUGUUACAAGAAAGGAAAAGCUUCUCUAAUGCUGGAGGGUUAUGAUUUCGUGUAAAUGUAAGUGGGUGAUCUAAUGAAAGGAGAUGAUCAAAUGUCACUUGAAUAUAUAGCACUGUGUUUUAGUCUUCAAAGUUAAAAGUGCACUGCCAAUCAAGUUUGAAAAUGAAAUUGCCCCAGACUUACAAUUUUUCACGACUUAAUUUAGCGUCUUGUACAGUUUUAGUGCAAAGUUUGCUGAAAGUGUUUGCAUAGUAGGGGGAACUUUAAUAAAAUCCUAUUUAAUGCUAAAAUGUCACUUUGCAAAUAUGCAUGCUGUCUACAUUGCUAUAGCAUGUAUAAUUAAUAAUUGAAGUUCCUUUGACAGUUGCAAUCCUAAUGCAAUUUCUCUAAGCCUUUCUGGUCUCAGAAUUGGCUGAGGUCAAAUUCUUGAGGCACCUGUCCUUGUUAUGGUUGUCACCAGACUUAGCCUGUUCUUAUGCUACCUCAGACACACAGAGAAUGGUUUUAUGUUAAUAUGAGGAUGACAGAUGCAUUCAUAUGUACAUAAAGAAGCCAUAUGUUAAACACCUAAAUAGGACUAUAUUUCUUUUUAUAACUUCCUAAUUAUAGAUUCUGUGAAGUGAAGUGUUGAAAGCACAAGGCCCAGUAUAUUGCAGAGAAAGGCUGCCUGUGACUGUGCCAAAUACCUUAUAAUGUCAUAAUUGCCGUGAAACCAGACAAAGCACUUUGCACGGUUGAGAAUGCAGGAAACGGUCAAUUGCAACAUGACAAUGGAUUCUAAUCUCUCUGCACAGUGACAGCGGGAGGCAAGCUUGGGUAUUAGAGAAAAAAAAUGCAUUGAUUUGUUGACAAAGUGAGUGAAGCUUGACAGCUAUCACAAUGAAACAUUGGUCUUCUCCACUUAAUCAAUGUCAGCCUUCUAACCAAAUGGUUUCACAGCCAAGAUGAAAAGCAAUCAAGAAGAACACCCUCAUAAGCAUGAAACCUGGAAGAUGGAGUUCAAUGAAGUGUGUCAUUUAGUUCUGUGUCCCAAAGUCUGAUACACAACCCAAAUGCUAAUCGCGAACACUUAACCCUUUAGGAGAUGAACAGCAAUUGGAAUGUGUGUGAACAGGUAAAUGUUAGUAUUCUAAAUUAGAGCCUUCCGACUCAAAACAUUAAUUAAUUAGCCUAUUUCUGUUCCAAAAAGAAUUGGUAUUAGUACUCAAAAUAAAUAACAUCCAGCAUAUAUUUUUAUUUAACCUUUCUGCAUCUGAUUUUGUCCAAGUCAGAUUCGCCAUUUAACUAGUCCAGUGAUGAUGUGACUGAAUUUCAAUCACACUUCAGUCAUGACUAUGCUGAAAGUUAAGAUUUUCUAAGACAGCAAUAAAAUGUAACUCUAGAAUAAAGACUUUUGUUUGAGACUUGUUUAAAAUGAGGAAUUUGUUGAUAUUAGGUUGGCUAACUCUACGGUUAAAUUAGAAGUUGUUUGAAAGAGCUAAUUAGUUUACUGUGAUUUUUGUAAAAUUUCUAGUGCCCUGAUGAAGGGUCUCAUCCUGAAGCAUUGACCAUUAGAUGCUGGCUGGCCUACUGAGUUCCUCCAGUAUUUUGUAUGCAUUGCUUUGGAUUUCCAGGACCUCCAGUGUCUAUUAAAAUCUUGAUAUGUAAUGGAGUGAUAAUUGUGUUUAUUCUUAUUUUAAAUUCUCAUUCUUGUUUAGAAACAUUGAACGAUGAACAUGAACAUAGGACUUUUCGUAUCGAUCUUUGUUCAGUGAAAAGACGAAAGCCUUUCUGUUGUCUAACACAAUGUCCUAAAUGUAAAAAUAUCUCAGAGAAAUUAUACAAAAUGUACAUUGAUGAACCUGAGGUGGGCAAAGUCAUG
Hypanus sabinus (Atlantic stingray) is the source of this 2723-nucleotide long non-coding RNA. RefSeq lists it as uncharacterized. The transcript has 3 exons. The record is from RefSeq and is a predicted model, not a curated record. NCBI's taxonomy places the organism in Eukaryota, Metazoa, Chordata, Chondrichthyes, Myliobatiformes, Dasyatidae.